CCUAGCUCAGAUCCCCCAUCGCACCCCUCCUCCCUCGUCCCCAUCUCCUCGCCGCCGCUGCCACAUCCUCCCCGUCCCCUGCACCACUCCUCGUCGCCAACCUCGCCGCCGCCACCUCCUCCCCGUCCCUUGCACCACUCCCUGAUCCCUCCUCCGGCACCAUCCCCGGCCAUCCCCACUUCCACCACCCCUCCGUCCCAGUCGCUGCUCUCUCUCGGUUAAGUGAGAUGGGAUCCACUCCCGCAGCCGCCGCUCCACCCUCAUCGUCGACGACCCAUGCCGCCGCCGCACACCACCGGGCCCUCCCAUCACCCUGGCCCCAUGUUGGGUAGUGCGAGGCGGUGCUUCCAGACCACGAUGGCCGCAGCCUUGCCCACUCCAAUCUGGAUCCAUGGUGCACUCCUUCCUCCCUCUGGAUCCAGCGCCUGCUGGUGACGAGGGCCGCCAGAUCCGCGACCUGGGAGGCUCCUCCUGUAGGAUACGGGAGCAGCACGCCGCACCCUGCAGUCGCUGACCUGGUGCACUCCUUCUAAUCUCCAUAGCCACUUUUUUGCCUCGGCUGCUUGCUCUGCUCUCUGCGUGAUGGAGCUAGGCCUCACGCUCCAGCUAGCCGCGCCGCCGGCGCGCCUCCCCCACGGGUAUAUUGCAUCGCCGUGCCCGCCAGUAAUGAGCGGAGUCCGGGCGGGGAGGCGCGAGAGUAGGAGGGCUGGGGCUGUGUCGACGAGUGGGGGUGUGAGCUACGCGGUGGUUGAAGAUGGGAAGGUGAACGAGGGGGAGGAGAUGUCGAGGCCGCGGCUGGAGUUCAUCGAGAAGUUAGAUCGGUACCUGGCGCUGCUGGACGAGUACGAGUCGGAGGAGCUGGGGGCGGCGCUCUGCGCCAACCACCGCAGUGCUGAGCCUUCUUCUUCUUCUUUGUGGUUUGCUUUGUUUGUAGUUAUGUUGCUGUGUUGGGGAAGCCAAAUGUCGGCAAGAGCACCCUGAUAAACCAAAUCGUUGGUCAGUAGCUUUCGAUCGUAACCGAUAAACCACAAACCACACGCCACCACAUCCUCGGUAUAUGUUCUGAACCAGAAUACCAGGUACAACCUUCUUGUCUCCAAAGCACCAGGUUGAUCUUGAUUGCUAGCAUGGGAGAUGUAUCUUCUUUUGCAUAUCAAUUACAUAGCAGUACUAUGUAACAAUCUAUGUUGUUAUUUUUAGGUUAGGUUGAAGUGAUUGGUAGGCCUUCGUUAGCAAGCGAGCUUUAAAUUUCCAUUGUUAUUUGCACUAUAUUCCACGCACGCCUCAUUUGAAUUUGUGAUCGUAUCCAUAGACCAGUGAAUUUAUUGCACUAUUUGCUUGCUGUGAAGUAUCCAGUAUUUGUUACAUUAUGUCUUUAAGUAGUAAAAUUGAGAACGGCAAGCUAAAUUCUUCAACUGAACUGCUCUUUCAUUGUACCACGAAAUCGGAAAUACUGAAGUUUUGCUAUGUAUAACAUUGGUGCAUGUGCAGGCCCGGCUUGUGGGGAUGGUCAGUGGCAAGGCAGAGCGGAACACGGACGUGUCCUUCGCGCUCGACGACGGCACCGGCCGUAUCGACAUCAUCAGAUGGCUGACAUGGAAAAAGUUAUGGAACAAGAGGUACCAGAAGGUGGAGAACCAAAGAAUGUUGCUGCUGUUGUUGCUGACAUUCUCACUAAAGAAUGUCCCUCCAACACAUUCCUUCAAAAUGUUGGCCUUGAGUCGAGCUCCAAGAUGAAGUUCAAUAGAUCUGCAGUUACUUUGGAUGCUCAUGUACAAGAACUAGAGUAAAAGCUUGAGAAGGAGAGGCGAGCCGCUGAGUUGAUGCAAGAGGAGCUUGUUGAGGUCAAGAAGAAAUCAGAGGAGACCGAAGCUGUACGCGCCGCAGAGUAUCAGUUGUUACUGCAAAGAGUUGAGGCCACCGAUGCUAGGGCUGCAGCAAGUGAUUCUAGAUUUGCGCGUCUCAUGGAUCUGUUCGAAGGUAAAUUAGUUACUACAACGUGGUUGAUGUUGGCUUUGGGACUUUUGAUGCUGAGUUGUUUGGACCUGGGGUUGAUGAGUUUCUUUGGGUGUGUUACUGGCUAUGUUAUUUUGGUUGGUGCAUCUUAUGAACUUGUGGUGUAAUGAUACUGCUGGGCCUAAGUUAAUGAAAUCUUGGAGAAUUGUAUUAUUAUUAUCAUUUUA
This is an RNA transcript of Triticum dicoccoides, 2183 nucleotides long. It is a transcript of the gene named GTPase ERA-like, chloroplastic, with no coding region annotated. The transcript is spliced from 3 exons. NCBI's taxonomy places the organism in Eukaryota, Viridiplantae, Streptophyta, Magnoliopsida, Poales, Poaceae. The record is from RefSeq and is a predicted model, not a curated record.